CGCAAUCCACUUAAUGUAACUCUACCUAUGGGUGCGUCAUUGGCAACGAUGAGGUGCUAAGCCGUAGAUGUAACAUAGAAAUCUACUAGCCUAAAAGCGGAUGAUCUG
Molecule: non-coding RNA, 108 nt
Filed under: Petrocella atlantisensis
Lineage: Bacteria; Bacillati; Bacillota; Clostridia; Lachnospirales; Vallitaleaceae
Source: RNAcentral